UCCGGGAUCGUCUAAUGGUAGGACAACGGACUCUGAAUCCGUUUAUCUUGGUUCGAAUCCAAGUCCCGGAG
This 71-nucleotide transfer RNA is filed under the name Candidatus Magasanikiibacteriota bacterium. RNAcentral describes it as "Candidatus Magasanikbacteria bacterium tRNA-Gln". It matches the Rfam family "tRNA". Rfam says of the family: Transfer RNA (tRNA) molecules are approximately 80 nucleotides in length. Their secondary structure includes four short double-helical elements and three loops (D, anti-codon, and T loops). Further hydrogen bonds mediate the characteristic L-shaped molecular structure. tRNAs have two regions of fundamental functional importance: the anti-codon, which is responsible for specific mRNA codon recognition, and the 3' end, to which the tRNAs corresponding amino acid is attached (by aminoacyl-tRNA synthetases). tRNAs cope with the degeneracy of the genetic code in two manners: having more than one tRNA (with a specific anti-codon) for a particular amino acid; and 'wobble' base-pairing, i.e. permitting non-standard base-pairing at the 3rd anti-codon position. Lineage: Bacteria; Candidatus Magasanikiibacteriota. The record is from RNAcentral.